RNAcentral lists this ribosomal RNA (429 nucleotides) under Bacteroidota bacterium. RNAcentral's name for it is "Bacteroidetes bacterium partial 16S ribosomal RNA". It matches the Rfam family "Bacterial small subunit ribosomal RNA", at positions 355 to 776 of the family's 1533-position model. Lineage: Bacteria; Pseudomonadati; Bacteroidota. The record is from RNAcentral.
UAGGGAAUCUUCCGCAAUGGACGCAAGUCUGACGGAGCAACGCCGCGUGAGUGAAGAAGGAUUUCGGUUCGUAAAACUCUGUUGUUAGAGAAGAACAGCGCAUAGAGUAACUGUUAUGCGUGUGACGGUAUCUAACCAGAAAGCCACGGCUAACUACGUGCCAGCAGCCGCGGUAAUACGUAGGUGGCAAGCGUUGUCCGGAUUUAUUGGGCGUAAAGCGAGCGCAGGCGGUCAAUUAAGUCUGAUGUGAAAGCCCCCGGCUCAACCGGGGAGGGUCAUUGGAAACUGGUUGACUUGAGUGCAGAAGAGGAGAGUGGAAUUCCAUGUGUAGCGGUGAAAUGCGUAGAUAUAUGGAGGAACACCUGUGGCGAAGGCGACUCUCUGGUCUGUAACUGACGCUGAGGCUCGAAAGCGUGGGUAGCAAACAGG